RNAcentral lists this ribosomal RNA (614 nucleotides) under fungal endophyte sp. SX10. Its description in RNAcentral is "eukaryotic LSU rRNA". The stretch from base 230 to 383 matches the Rfam family "5.8S ribosomal RNA". Lineage: Eukaryota; Fungi. The record is from RNAcentral.
AAAGUCGUAACAAGGUUUCCGUAGGUGAACCUGCGGAAGGAUCAUUACCGAGUGUAGGGUUCCUAGCGAGCCCAACCUCCCACCCGUGUUUACUGUACCUUAGUUGCUUCGGCGGGCCCGCCAUUCAUGGCCGCCGGGGGCUCUCAGCCCCGGGCCCGCGCCCGCCGGAGACACCACGAACUCUGUCUGAUCUAGUGAAGUCUGAGUUGAUUGUAUCGCAAUCAGUUAAAACUUUCAACAAUGGAUCUCUUGGUUCCGGCAUCGAUGAAGAACGCAGCGAAAUGCGAUAACUAGUGUGAAUUGCAGAAUUCCGUGAAUCAUCGAGUCUUUGAACGCACAUUGCGCCCCCUGGUAUUCCGGGGGGCAUGCCUGUCCGAGCGUCAUUGCUGCCCAUCAAGCACGGCUUGUGUGUUGGGUCGUCGUCCCCUCUCCGGGGGGGACGGGCCCCAAAGGCAGCGGCGGCACCGCGUCCGAUCCUCGAGCGUAUGGGGCUUUGUCACCCGCUCUGUAGGCCCGGCCGGCGCUUGCCGAACGCAAAUCAAUCUUUUCCAGGUUGACCUCGGAUCAGGUAGGGAUACCCGCUGAACUUAAGCAUAUCAAUAAGCGGAGGAAAA